CUCUUAUUCUGAGCGGUGGAGGGAACAAGGCCCUACGAAGCCCAGCAACCGUCCGACAUGAAGUCUUGUGCGGAAAAGGUGCUAUCCUGAAGCGAAGCCAUUAGCUUCGAACGAUAAGAG
This 120-nucleotide non-coding RNA is filed under the name Exiguobacterium sp. Its description in RNAcentral is "SAM-I sequence". It matches the Rfam family "SAM riboswitch aptamer (S box leader)". Rfam says of the family: The SAM riboswitch is found upstream of a number of genes which code for proteins involved in methionine or cysteine biosynthesis in Gram-positive bacteria. The SAM riboswitch acts at the level of transcription termination control. Lineage: Bacteria; Bacillati; Bacillota; Bacilli; Caryophanales. RNAcentral also lists the same sequence under 2 other names. The record is from RNAcentral.